AACUUCAAUUCCUUUCUCAUAUGGUGCUUGAGAUAUUUUGAUACAAACGGCUUCACCUCAGAUGGACGGUUGCGGCAUAUUGCCAUCCGAGGAAGUAUUGAUCGAUGAGGUUAAGUCCUGUGCAAAAGACAUUGGUGCAGGUGCAGUCACAAUUGCAGGUAUGGUAUGAGGCAGCACCCGUGCGGUUGUGGAGAUGACCGUCAGUGCUGCGAUCUCUGCCUGCCAAUUAAAUGGCAUGACAGAUUUUGGUACAGUUAUCAAAGAGUGAAAUCGAAGAUGAGAAAAUGGCCAGGAAGGUUUGCAAAAUUCUUUCUUCUUCCGAACCGAACAGGAACGUUGAUAUCACAAUCAAUUUUAAAUUGUGAAUCAACAAAUUAAAUGAACAAUAUAGUGGAAUGAUUUGUCUCAUAAAGGAGGUACCAAUUCAAUGAAGGCGGCACAUGCUAGGAAACCCUCGUGUUUAUGCUAGAAAAAUGCUCCUUCCAAUAAAUAAGUUUAAAUGAAAGAUACAAUUGGUAGAAAAAACUACACCAAAGCUUUGUAUUAACAUUGUGUCUCGUUCUGACUUUUUUUUCGUAAAUUACUUAUUUAUCCUUUUCACCUAUAUAUAUGUAGUUGUGGGUGGGAUUUCAAUUUCAGCUGUUCCCACUAUACUAUAUUUCAUAACUUCACUACUUCAUAACUUUCAUAUUCUUCAGUUGAGUACGGUUCCAUUUCUGUCCGGUUCAUUCUUCAUCUAUGGUUUCUUUGGGAUCAAGCAUCAAGGUUUAUGUUUUCUGAAGCAUCAAGAGUUGGCCUGUACGUACACCGAGGCCUGUUGCAUCAAAACUUGCAGCUAAUACUUCUAUUCUUACUGGUUAGAUAAGCCCAAUUUUUAUUAUCAGAAUCAAACCUAGCUUGCAUGCAUUGCCUUAGUAGUCUGAGUGAAGGGCUUAUAUUUAUUGGCUGUUGAUUUCCCAUAUAUCUUCUUGGUGAACCAAGUAAUAGUUCUGAUUGUGUCUUUCACUUGGCAGGUUAUGAGAAAAAAAUUGUUAAAAUAUGUUCGUGUCAGGGAGUUUGCUCCAGAAAAUCCGUUUUUGCAAUGUAUAUAUGAAGACUGGAAUGAAAUAUGGGACUACAUACUUUUUCCAGAUUUUUUUGUUGAGAUUGAUGUUAGUCUCGUGAGGAAAUUACUUUUAAUAACUUCAUUAUGGCAUAUAAUAAUUUAGGUAUGAAUCUUUAAUUAUGGUUCUUAAGCUUAAGUAUUGUUUUGAAUGCGGGCAACAUGUGGUUCCUUUACAAAUAUUUUAUGCAUAAUCUUAUAUUAGGACAUUUCAUAAUAGUGAGUUUGGGAAUGUUGUGGUGGGUUUGUGUUUUUUUUUCUACAUUUGUGAAUUUAUGGCUGUAUAGUUUGGUUGGAGAUAUCUUAGUAAGCUCUGGCUUGGUGUUUUUAUUGGUUUUGUAGGGAAAAGAUAGUGAGGGAUUCAAUUUUGAAAUAUUAUUGUAAAAAACAUGAUAUGGUUGCUUACAUAUUCUAUCUGAGGAAGAUUUGGAAAUUGACAUGCUUUUUCUACUAUUUUCAGAUAUUAAUUUAUGGGAUAAACUUUACAUACUUUUUAAUCUAACUUCUUUGAAUGUGUUUGGCCGUUUUCAAGUAAAAUUGAUUUUAAUUUUAGAAUUUAUUUAUGGGAUAAACUUUGCAUUUUAAUCUAACUUUUGUAGAAUUCAUAACUUUUGUCUUCUUAAAGAAUAUACAGGUUCACACUUUGGGUUUUUAUUAUUGUCACAAUUUGAAGUUUUUGUUCAAGUUGGACAAACUCCCCGGCCUUAAAACAUUGU
Long non-coding RNA from Medicago truncatula (barrel medic), 1818 nucleotides. RefSeq lists it as uncharacterized. The record is from RefSeq and is a predicted model, not a curated record. Lineage: Eukaryota; Viridiplantae; Streptophyta; Magnoliopsida; Fabales; Fabaceae. The transcript is spliced from 4 exons.